UCCGAUGAUGAUUAAAAAUUACUUUCGUUCUUCUGAAGUUAGCAAUGUGGAAGAACAAUUUGGAGACCUGAACUGAGGGGA
This 81-nucleotide small nucleolar RNA is filed under the name Zea mays. RNAcentral's name for it is "Zm_35". It matches the Rfam family "Small nucleolar RNA Z159/U59". From Rfam's summary of the family: This family consists of several snoRNA Z159 or U59 sequences which are members of the C/D class of snoRNA which contain the C (UGAUGA) and D (CUGA) box motifs. This family seems to be found exclusively in rice. The record is from RNAcentral. Lineage: Eukaryota; Viridiplantae; Streptophyta; Magnoliopsida; Poales; Poaceae.